GCUGGUGUGAUAGGCAGGAGAGAGUGAUUGUAUUUUGCCGACUGAGCGUGCAAGUCGUGAAUACGGCAACUCAAACAACAUGGCGUGAAAGCUGAAAAAGGGAAUGAUGUGUCACAGAAUUUAAACAUCGGACUUCUGACAGAUUUCUUUCCUGAUAUUACUUCGUAUUAGAGAGAAAAUGAUGAAAACUUCAACAAGUGAUUUGGUGAUAACUUGCAUUAACCAGGUGUCAUCCGAUUUACACUUAUGGUAUAUACAUCCCGAGCCACGAUUGGUAGUGGAAUACAGGCCUACGCUCGAGUUCAUAUCAACAUCCAUGCAGCUUGGUCAGAUCAGCAAAGAUUUAAACAAGUUUUCACCAGGAGGUGAUGUUGCUUGAACGGCAUCUAUACCAUUCCGCAUGUGGUUAUCUUACGCCCGAGAAUUAACCUGGUGUCGAUCAAGACUUCAUCACCAGUAAAGACGAUUGAUGUCCACCUCAUGCACAAUGAGCCACAAGUGGAAUAGGUUUACCUCGAGUACACUUCACCAUCCAUGUGGCCUGGUCAGCGAGGAAUGGAACAGGUUUUCAUCAGGAGAUGCUUAGAGGGUCUGGUGGACAGGAGAAUGUUGCUUGGAAGUCAUCCGAUAAUGCUUAUCUUACGGGGAGAUGAGAGAUCUGAUGUCAUUGUUGACCAUCGCCAUUUGAUUUGCCACUUGAGAGGACCCAGUCUUACUUUGAGGAGUAAGAUAGGAUUUGGAUAAUGGAUUUCGGUCGACGAAUAUACCAUGCUGAUGUAAUGAUUGGAAAGUUCAUCCUUUGUAGUCUCGUUUUGGUGAGGGGUGUUGCAAAGAUCCAGUUGAUCUUAUGCAUGUCUUCCGCUUACUAGAGCCUAAAGACAACCGCACACCUCACGAUUGGUCUGCGACCCGAUUUUGGAAUAAAACGUAGUAGAGUUUGAUUCUUAUAUUGAGACAUGGAAUAUCUGUCUGUGUCAAUAUUCUACAUCAUCAUACGAAUACAUUAUGUUCAAAUAUGUGGCCAUGCUGUGAGCCUUAUUAGAAUAAAAGUGAAUUUGAUAUCUAGUCGUCAUAGCAAUCAUACGAUUGGCUACGAUUUGAAACCAAUUUGGCCUUACUAAAAAAAACGAAGGCUUACAAUCAUCCAAAUUUGUUAUAUUAGUAUUCUUACAAUUAGUUUGAACCACAAAUAAAAAAUACUUUUUAUUCACAUUUUCAGAAAACU
This is a long non-coding RNA of Lytechinus variegatus (green sea urchin), 1225 nucleotides long. RefSeq lists it as uncharacterized. NCBI's taxonomy places the organism in Eukaryota, Metazoa, Echinodermata, Echinoidea, Temnopleuroida, Toxopneustidae. The transcript has 3 exons. The record is from RefSeq and is a predicted model, not a curated record.